GGGCGGGCCCUGUGCGAUGGAGCCCCGUGAACCGUGUCAGAUGGGGAACCAAGCAGCACUAAGCGACGGUUUCCAUGCGCCACAGUUUUCCUGUCCUCU
RNAcentral lists this signal recognition particle RNA (99 nucleotides) under Candidatus Ruthenibacterium avium. RNAcentral's name for it is "signal recognition particle sRNA small type". It matches the Rfam family "Bacterial small signal recognition particle RNA". Rfam says of the family: The signal recognition particle (SRP) is a universally conserved ribonucleoprotein involved in the co-translational targeting of proteins to membranes. Archaeal SRP consists of a 7S RNA and homologues of the eukaryotic SRP19 and SRP54 proteins. Lineage: Bacteria; Bacillati; Bacillota; Clostridia; Eubacteriales; Oscillospiraceae. RNAcentral also lists the same sequence under 1 other name. The record is from RNAcentral.